GAUGAACGCUGGCGGCGUGCUUAACACAUGCAAGUCGAACGAAGCACUUUAUUUGAUUUCCUUCGGGACUGAUUAUUUUGUGACUGAGUGGCGGACGGGUGAGUAACGCGUGGGUAACCUGCCUUGUACAGGGGGAUAACAGUUGGAAACGGCUGCUAAUACCGCAUAAGCGCACGGCAUCGCAUGAUGCAGUGUGAAAAACUCCGGUGGUAUAAGAUGGACCCGCGUUGGAUUAGCUAGUUGGUGAGGUAACGGCUCACCAAGGCGACGAUCCAUAGCCGACCUGAGAGGGUGACCGGCCACAUUGGGACUGAGACACGGCCCAAACUCCUACGGGAGGCAGCAGUGGGGAAUAUUGCACAAUGGGCGAAAGCCUGAUGCAGCGACGCCGCGUGAGCGAAGAAGUAUUUCGGUAUGUAAAGCUCUAUCAGCAGGGAAGAUAAUGACGGUACCUGACUAAGAAGC
Molecule: ribosomal RNA, 465 nt
Filed under: uncultured bacterium
Lineage: Bacteria
Description: bacterial SSU rRNA
Rfam family: Bacterial small subunit ribosomal RNA
Source: RNAcentral